UAACCUGAGAGUUUGAUCCUGGCUCAGAACGAACGCUGGCGGCAUGCCUAACACAUGCAAGUCGAACGCAUCGCAAGAUGAGUGGCGCACGGGUGAGUAACGCGUGGGAACCUGCCCUGUGGUACGGAAUAACCCCGGGAAACUGGAGCUAAUACCGUAUACGUCCUAUGGGAGAAAGAUUUAUCGCCAUGGGAGGGGCCCGCGUCCGAUUAGGUAGUUGGUGAGGUAACGGCUCACCAAGCCUUCGAUCGGUAGCUGGUCUGAGAGGAUGAUCAGCCACACUGGGACUGAGACACGGCCCAGACUCCUACGGGAGGCAGCAGUGGGGAAUAUUGGACAAUGGGCGAAAGCCUGAUCCAGCAAUGCCGCGUGAGUGAUGAAGGCCUUCGGGUUGUAAAGCUCUUUCGCACGCGACGAUGAUGACGGUAGCGUGAGAAGAAGCUCCGGCUAACUUCGUGCCAGCAGCCGCGGUAAUACGAAGGGGGCAAGCGUUAUUCAAAAUGAUUGGGCGUAAAGGGUUCGUAGGUUGUAUUUAAAGUUAUGCAUUAAAG
Molecule: ribosomal RNA, 551 nt
Filed under: Alphaproteobacteria bacterium
Lineage: Bacteria; Pseudomonadati; Pseudomonadota; Alphaproteobacteria
Description: bacterial SSU rRNA
Rfam family: Bacterial small subunit ribosomal RNA
Source: RNAcentral